This 404-nucleotide ribosomal RNA is filed under the name uncultured bacterium. RNAcentral describes it as "bacterial SSU rRNA". It matches the Rfam family "Bacterial small subunit ribosomal RNA", at positions 355 to 776 of the family's 1533-position model. The record is from RNAcentral.
UGGGGGAUAUUGCACAAUGGGGGAAACCCUGAUGCAGCGACGCCGCGUGAAGGAAGAAGUAUUUCGGUAUGUAAACUUCUAUCAGCAGGGAAGAAAAUGACGGUACCUGACUAAGAAGUCCCGGCUAACUACGUGCCAGCAGCCGCGGUAAUACGUAGGGGGCAAGCGUUAUCCGGAUUUACUGGGUGUAAAGGGAGCGUAGGCGGUGCGCCAAGCUGGAUGUGAAAGGCCGGGGCUCAACCCCGGGACUGCAUUUGGAACUGGCGUACUGGAGUGUUGGAGAGGCAGGCGGAAUUCCUAGUGUAGCGGUGAAAUGCGUAGAUAUUAGGAGGAACACCAGUGGCGAAGGCGGCCUGCUGGACAAUAACUGACGCUGAGGCUCGAAAGCGUGGGGAGCAAACAGG